This 497-nucleotide ribosomal RNA is filed under the name uncultured bacterium. RNAcentral's name for it is "partial 16S ribosomal RNA". It matches the Rfam family "Bacterial small subunit ribosomal RNA", at positions 28 to 507 of the family's 1533-position model. The record is from RNAcentral.
GAUGAACGCUGGCGGCGUGCCUAAUACAUGCAAGUCGAGCGAACGGACGAGAAGCUUUCUUCUCUGAUGUUAGAGGCGGACGUGAGAGUAACACGUGGAUAAGCUACCUAUAAGACUGGGAUCACAUCGUGAAACCGUAGCUAAUACCGGAUGAUAUUUUGAACCGCAUGGUUCAAAAGUGAAAGACGGUCUUGCUGUCACUUAUAGAUGGAUCCGCGCUGCAUUAGCUAGUUGGUAAGGUAACGGCUUACCAAGGCAACGAUGCAUAGCCGACCUGAGAGGGUGAUCGGCCACACUGGAACUGAGACACGGUCCAGACUCCUACGGGAGGCAGCAGUAGGGAAUCUUCCGCAAUGGGCGAAAGCCUGACCGAGCAACGCCGCGUGAGUGAUGAAGGUCUUCGGAUCGUAAAACUCUGUUAUUAGGGAAGAACAGCUGUGUAAGUAACUGUACGCAUCUUGACGGUACCUAAUCAGAAAGCAACGGCUAACUACGUG